RNAcentral lists this ribosomal RNA (425 nucleotides) under uncultured eukaryote. RNAcentral describes it as "bacterial SSU rRNA". It matches the Rfam family "Eukaryotic small subunit ribosomal RNA", at positions 592 to 1018 of the family's 1831-position model. The record is from RNAcentral.
CAGUAGCGUAUAUUAAAGUUGUUGCAGUUAAAAAGCUCGUAGUUGGAUUUCUGGAUUGACGCCCCUGGCCCGCCUUAUUGGUGUGUGCCGGUCGUGGCGUCAUCCAUCCUUCCAAGGAUUGUGUUUUUCCUUUAUUGGUUUAGCAUUAAGACUUGGAUCUUUUACUUUGAAAAAUUAGAGUGUUUAAAGCAGGCAUUUGCUGGAAUACAUUAGCAUGGAAUAAUAACAUAGGACUUCGGUUCCUAUUUUGUUGGUUUCUAGGUCUGAAGUAAUGAUUGAUAGGGACAGUUGGGGGUGCUAGUAUUCAGAGGCCAGAGGUGAAAUUCAUGGAUUCUCUGAAGACUAACUUAUGCGAAAGCAUUCACCAAGGAUGUCUUCUUUAAUCAAGAACGAAAGUUUAGGGAGUGAAGACGAUUAGAUACCGU